GCACUCACUUCAGCAGCACAUGUAAGAAAAUUGGAAUGACAGAAAAUUGGCAUGGCCACUGUACAAGGAUGACAUGCAAAUUCAUGAAGUAUUCAAUAUUUUU
Small nuclear RNA from Sorex araneus (European shrew), 103 nucleotides. The record is from RefSeq and is a predicted model, not a curated record. Lineage: Eukaryota; Metazoa; Chordata; Mammalia; Eulipotyphla; Soricidae.